RNAcentral lists this ribosomal RNA (464 nucleotides) under uncultured bacterium. Its description in RNAcentral is "bacterial SSU rRNA". It matches the Rfam family "Bacterial small subunit ribosomal RNA", at positions 330 to 792 of the family's 1533-position model. The record is from RNAcentral.
UCCAGACUCCUACGGGAGGCAGCAGUAAGGAAUAUUGGUCAAUGGCCGCAGGGCUGAACCAGCCAAGUCGCGUGAGGGAUGACGGUCCUAUGGAUUGUAAACCUCUUUUGUCAGGGAGCAAAGGGCGCCACGUGUGGCGUUUUGCGAGUACCUGAAGAAAAAGCGUCGGCUAACUCCGUGCCAGCAGCCGCGGUAAUACGGAGGAUGCGAGCGUUAUCCGGAUUUAUUGGGUUUAAAGGGUGCGCAGGCGGAAUGUCAAGUCAGCGGUAAAAUUUCGGGGCUCAACCCCGUCGUGCCGUUGAAACUGGGGAUCUUGAGUGGGCGAGAAGUAUGCGGAAUGCGUGGUGUAGCGGUGAAAUGCAUAGAUAUCACGCAGAACUCCGAUUGCGAAGGCAGCAUACCGGCGCCCGACUGACGCUGAGGCACGAAAGCGUGGGGAUCGAACAGGAUUAGAUACCCCAGUA